RNAcentral lists this unclassified non-coding RNA (348 nucleotides) under Schinopsis brasiliensis. RNAcentral's name for it is "partial external transcribed spacer". The record is from RNAcentral. Lineage: Eukaryota; Viridiplantae; Streptophyta; Magnoliopsida; Sapindales; Anacardiaceae.
UGUGUUGCUUACCUACUAAGAGGAAUUCGAUAGUAACGUUGCCUCCUUCCGCCCGAUGCCCUCUUUGGGUGUAGGGUGGACGCCAAGCACGCUACGUGUUCCUCGCAUGCCUUGCCUUGUUGCGGGGCUGUUGAGGCCCACGGAGCUGUUGCCCGUUCUCUCGGAUGCGGAACGUCAUGCAUGGGUGCAGGGUCUCGGCCUUUGCUCGCCCAAGCUAUGCAUUUGUCCCUUGACGCGAACGACUGCCACGGCCGUCUUGAUCACGUCGUAGCCUACGCGCUCGACGGGCUUCAUGCGGACGCUGGCGUCGUCGAGGAAUGCUACCUGGUUGAUCCUGCCAGUAGUCAU